This 496-nucleotide ribosomal RNA is filed under the name uncultured bacterium. RNAcentral's name for it is "partial 16S ribosomal RNA". It matches the Rfam family "Bacterial small subunit ribosomal RNA", at positions 29 to 507 of the family's 1533-position model. The record is from RNAcentral.
AUGAACGCUGGCGGCGUGCCUAAUACAUGCAAGUCGAGCGAACAGACGAGGAGCUUGCUCCUCUGACGUUAGCGGCGGACGGGUGAGUAACACGUGGAUAACCUACCUAUAAGACUGGGAUAACUUCGGGAAACCGGAGCUAAUACCGGAUAACAUGUUGAACCGCAUGGUUCAACAGUGAAAGACGGUUUUGCUGUCACUUAUAGAUGGAUCCGCGUCGCAUUAGCUAGUUGGUAAGGUAACGGCUUACCAAGGCAACGAUGCGUAGCCGACCUGAGAGGGUGAUCGGCCACACUGGAACUGAGACACGGUCCAGACUCCUACGGGAGGCAGCAGUAGGGAAUCUUCCGCAAUGGGAGAAAGCCUGACGGAGCAACGCCGCGUGAGUGAAGAAGGUCUUCGGAUCGUAAAACUCUGUUAUUAGGGAAGAACAAAUGUGUAAGUAACUAUGCACGUCUUGACGGUACCUAAUCAGAAAGCCACGGCUAACUACGUG